AGUUGGAAUAGGCAAAUCCGUCCAACAAUCUCAAGCUGUGACGGGGAGGGAACAUAAGUACCGAAGCUCCGGAUUUCAUACUGCCAAGAAAAGCCUCUAGUGAGGAAAGAGGUGCCCGUACCGCAAACCGACACAGGUAGGCGAGGAGAGAAUCCUAAGGUGAGCGGGAGAACUCUCGUUAAGGAACUCGGCAAAAUGACCCCGUAACUUCGGGAGAAGGGGUGCUUCUUUUGCGAGAAGCCGCAGUGAAAAGGCCCAAGCGACUGUUUAGCAAAAACACAGGUCUCUGCGAAGCCGUAAGGCGAAGUAUAGGGGCUGACACCUGCCCGGUGCUGGAAGGUUAAGGGGACGCGUUAGCCGCAAGGCGAAGCGUUGAACCGAAGCCCCAGUAAACGGCGGCCGUAACUAUAACGGUCCUAAGGUAGCGAAAUUCCUUGUCGGGUAAGUUCCGACCCGCACGAAAGGUGCAACGACUUGGGCACUGUCUCAACGAGAGACCCGGUGAAAUUAUACUAUGCGUGAAGAUGCGCAUUACCCGCGACAGGACGGAAAGACCCCGUGGAGCUUUACUGUAGCCUGAUAUUGCAUGUUGGUACAGCUUGUACAGGAUAGGUGGGAGCCUUAGAAGCCGGAGCGCUAGCUUCGGUGGAGGCGUCGGUGGGAUACCACCCUGGCUGUACGGACAUUCUAACCCAGGACCGUGAUCCGGUCCGGAGACAGUGUCAGGUGGGCAGUUUGACUGGGGCGGUCGCCUCCUAAAGAGUAACGGAGGCGCCCAAAGGUUCCCUCAGAAUGGUUGGAAAUCAUUCGCAGAGUGUAAAGGCAGAAGGGAGCUUGACUGCGAGACCUACAAGUCGAGCAGGGACGAAAGUCGGGCUUAGUGAUCCGGCGGUGCCGUAUGGAAGGGCCGUCGCUCAACGGAUAAAAGCUACCCCGGGGAUAACAGGCUUAUCUCCCCCAAGAGUCCACAUCGACGGGGAGGUUUGGCACCUCGAUGUCGGCUCAUCGCAUCCUGGGGCUGUAGUCGGUCCCAAGGGUUGGGCUGUUCGCCCAUUAAAGCGGUACGCGAGCUGGGUUCAGAACGUCGUGAGACAGUUCGGUCCCUAUCCGUCGUGGGCGUUGGAAGUUUGAGAGGAGCUGUCCUUAGUACGAGAGGACCGGGAUGGACACACCGCUGGUGUACCAGUUGUUCCGCCAGGAGCAUAGCUGGGUAGCUACGUGUGGAAGGGAUAAGUGCUGAAAGCAUCUAAGCAUGAAGCCCCCCUCUAGAUGAGACUUCCCAUCAUUUUAAAUGAGUAAGAUCCCUCAGAGACGAUGAGGUUGAUAGGUCCGAGGUGGAAGCGUGGUGACACGUGCAGCUGACGGAUACUAAUCGAUCGAGGACUUAACUAU
Molecule: ribosomal RNA, 1392 nt
Filed under: Sediminibacillus massiliensis
Lineage: Bacteria; Bacillati; Bacillota; Bacilli; Caryophanales; Bacillaceae
Description: bacterial LSU rRNA
Rfam family: Bacterial large subunit ribosomal RNA
Source: RNAcentral